UUUACACGGCUGGAACCGUGGACAUCUUCACGCUUCCCCCGCAGCGCGGAGCUCAGAGCCCGGACUGUAGGGGUGAUGCGAAGGGGCGAGAGCUCCUCGAUGUUCUCCAUCAUCACCACCACCACAGCACAAACAGUAAGUUGAUACGUGUUGUUGGGGUAAUUGAACGCAACCCCAGGAUCCACAACUGGCAGGAGAACGAAAUCCGAAGACUGCUGAGGGCACGGCGAGGACUCCGCGGUUUACCGGCGGAUAAACAGCUGCUGGCGAGAGGGUCGUCCGCGGGUCACACAUGCAGGUGAUCAGCAAACUGGAGGCGCUCUGUACCACGAGCAGAAGACUCGCUGCGGGACCGAGCGCGUUGAAGAGCGAAGAGCAGUCAGGGGCGAAGUGGACGUCAGAAAGCUCAACAAGCACCUGGGUCAAGCGGAGGUGGAUGAUGACAAGGACCAGUACAAGCCCCCAGAACACUUGCACACAAUCCGCCCCCAACACACAAUUCCAUCAGAGAGAAAGAAAACGCCGGUGAUGGAGGAAGUCUCCACAUCAGUGUUGGCGAUGGUCGCCCAGAUCAGAGAGAUGGAUGCCUGUUUGCAGAGGUUAAAGGAGCACAAGAAGGAAAUGCAGAACAGUCUCAUGAGCCAGUUCAUAGCCAUGAAUGAAAGAGUCGGACGAGACACCUCAAACUUGUGGAAAGACUACUGUCCAAGUUUCCUUUGCCUUUGGCUCCUUCAGGCUGCUGACUGACUCGUUCUUGUGAGAAAUGACACUUGUGAUAAAGUUUUCCACCAGCUGUCCAGUGCCUCAGCCCAAAUUAACCUCAACUCUGUUCAGUUGUAGCUACUACUGAUCCAGGUCAUGUUCACACUUUUGUUUUUUGUGAAUAGAUUUCAGUCAUUAGUUAACCAGUUCAUAACAAGGACCUAUAAACUAGCAGCGGUGCUAGAAAAGCAUAAAUGCAGACAAAUGACAACAAAAGACUAAUUUGAAUGAAACAAGAAGCUUUUAGAUGCACACUGUAAUUCAGUUUUAUCGUAAUAGCAAAGCAAACGUGGAAAAUGAAUAGCUGGUCUUUCUGGUUCUGCCUUUGCUUUUUGAUAACAAGGCCUACUGUGGAAGACUGAAUAGAGUGGCUUUCUUUGUGUCAAAGAGUGCUGUGUGUUUUCUUUUCUUUUAAAUUUCCCUGAGCGCUCUCACCUUCUGUGUAGCUGUGUGUAACUCAGAUUUUCAUCUUGCCUAUGAAUGACUGUAAGCAAGAAAGAAAAUGCAGUAGACAUGUUUGGCUUUUCUGAAAAUUCUUUUCUAUAGAAAUGCGGGUUGUUGUGAUCUACAUUCCUCUUCACUCUCAGUGCUUUUGAACCUUUAAAGCUUCACCAUCAUGCUUCUGGGAAACGGAUCUGAGUUGUGUGAGUCUGAAAAUCUGCGUUUGGUGGAUUAAUACCUGCAGCGUGAACAUAAAAUAGAAGAUAGCUGAGUUAGUCUAGCGUCUGACACGCGGGUGGGUGUAUUUCUCCACCAUCAAAGCCAGACAUGUUUGAGUGAACACUGACAUGUAACACAAAGUAGGAGUACGCUCAGCUCCAGAUCUUAAACAUGCAUCGCGUGCCCGGUCUUGACAAAUAUGAAAACAAACAGAAUACAGGCACCAGACAAGAAUCAUUCAUCUUACCAAAUAUUGAGAGCAUAUUUCGGUUGAGACGUCAUCAGGAUAGUCUGAUGCAUAGUAAGAUGAGAUAAUAUUUUAAAAUAUAGUAUAAUAAUUAUAUAGAAAUAUGUGGUGAGGUCCAAUCACCAAUCAACAAAGAGGACACACUGGCACGAUAGAAAGCAGGCUAACCACCCAGAUGAGAAAACUGUCAUAAAAGAACAAAACAAAAAACAUCACGUCACCAUCCACAGUUAAAUACAACAAUAAGCUAUAGCAGAAUAAAAAUCUAAUCAACUUGUAUGAAGCUUUAUCCCAAUAUGUUUCUUUUUUUUGAACCGACCAAAACAGAAUCUCUUAUGAAGCCAAAUAUGUGCUCUGCUUGUUGAAAGGUUUCACCCUCUUUUACAGGGUCGGUGAUGGCAGGUGUGGACUCGUGCACUAAACACAGAACCUGCUGCUCAGUCAUUUCCUGCGAUCUUGUGGAACUGUAGAAUUACAGGUCGUCCUCUGUAGGUGAUGCUGUUCGGCAUAAUUGAGGGCAGUUUUUUCCUCACUCUUAUAGAUUAAGCAGGCUUGAAAAGGCAGAUAAUUGUAUUGAUUACAUGGUUUAUGUUUUCCUUUAUUUGAUUAGGUGUUGUAAGAUGUUAUAUCUGCAGAGUCUUGUAAAGUCAUUUACUUUUACUUCUUUCAUGAUGAUUUCCUCACGGCCGCCUUUGCCUGCUGUCUUGUUCUUUGUGCCGUGCAGCCGAGUGUCGUCUUUGAUGAUUGGUGUUUUGGACCUCUCCUAGUUUAUGCAAUCCCAGACUAGUGCAUUUUGCCAAUGAAGGCUCCAAGCCCAGACACAUGGGCCUUACCCAACAAUGGAUAUUAAGAAGAACACGUAUGCAUAUCGUGUGCUGGUUUGUGGAAACAGUGGGCCGCACUCAUUUGUAAAAGCAGAACAAAUCGCAGCUGCUGCUUUGUGAUGUGUUUGGAGGAAAUGGUAAAAGUUUGUAAUGUGAUUCGACAGUUACAGGACAACUGGGUUGUCACGAGCUUUCCGAGAAAGCAUUGUUGUCAUACAUAAACCAGGCAGUAGUUCCAAGAGGACGAGAAAAACCACCGUUAUUUACUGUAUGUACCACUGAAACCGUCUGUGGUAGAGCGCAUCAUAAGCAACAUGCCACGAUGGGCACUGCAAGGAAAAUGCACAAUAACUGUCAGUUUAAAGUUUGAGGUUUAUUAGAAAUACCUGUUUAGCAAUACAAUUAGUUAAAAAAAACAAAAAAACAACUACACACAUUUUAAAUAUUGAAAUUCCAAAAGCAUUUGCAGCUGGCUCCUCAGUUGCUGUUUCAGGUGUCAUUCUUGGCUGACACGAAAUUCCCGGUUGCGUUUCCUGCUCGCAGCAAUCCGGGAGAAAACGUGUCAUUGAGGAAAAACACCUCUGCAUCAGUCAGUCAUGAACCGUCAUAUAUCGCUUUUGCAGACCGGCGACAGAGUGUUACAUGACCUUACAGGCGUUAGUUUCACUUUCUUCACUGAUUCAACAGAAACAAAACCACAGGUCUGCCCUGCGUGGGCCGUGGUGGUGAGCAGCGAGACAGUAGCUGUUAUCAAAAAUGGGUUUUCUUUGUGACUCGCUCAGCUUGGUAUUUUUACUCCAGAUGCUUUUCUAGCGUUCUUUGCAGCCGCUGGUGUUUUACUUUUACUUUUUAAACAUGGUUUUUGUUCUUCAUGUGAGAGUUUUGAACUGACGUGACAUGAAUUCUGUCUGAAAAACAUUUCAAGGUGACCUGCAGUGUUGAAGCGUAAUGUCUGUGUGGAAGGAAGGAGGACGCCCCACCGGGCUGAUGGGUCGGGGGAUGUCUUGUGCGCCGUGGGAUGGAAACGGACCCCAUAACCAGCUGGGGCUCAGAAUCACAGCUGCAUUAUGGGUUCCGUUACAAUCCCACCCACAAACAGAGGGUUUCAGCAGGGCUGGGCUCAGGUCAGCAUGACUAAAAUAAAACAGGAAAACAAAAAACAAGUUAGAAACAGAAAGUAGGUGAAUUUACAUGAUAUGUUUGAGAGCAGUGAUCAAACUCACUCAUACGACCUGAAACGGAAAAACAUGAGUGAGCUUUUCGAUUAAUUACAUCGCAUUAUCUUUGUUUUGCACUGACAAAUGAGUCAUUAGGAUUUUGUUUUGGGUAAAGCGCUUUUUAGUGAUUUGAAAUUGAGAAGUGUGGUUUGUUUCCAUUGUGGGGCUGUGCGAGCAGCUGAGGGUUUAGAUGAUUCAGUGGCAGUCGUGACACUGUAACUUCCUCUGGCUCGUUUUGUUCUGGUUUUUGGGUGCUGUUACGACCUGAUCUCAACAGACCUGCAGUGGAUCUGAAUGGAAAUUGUGUAACCUCCACCAUGACGUAUUUAAGUUAUUUGGCUGAAAUGUGAACAAUUUAAAGAAAUAAAAGAUGUAUUUCAUCAAUAAGUAA
Long non-coding RNA from Oreochromis niloticus (Nile tilapia), 4101 nucleotides. RefSeq lists it as uncharacterized. NCBI's taxonomy places the organism in Eukaryota, Metazoa, Chordata, Actinopteri, Cichliformes, Cichlidae. The record is from RefSeq and is a predicted model, not a curated record. The transcript has 3 exons.